UACGGGGGGGGCAAGCGUUGUUCGGAAUUACUGGGCGUAAAGGGCGCGUAGGCGGUUCGCUAAGUUGGAUGUGAAAACUCUGGGCUCAACCCAGAGCCUGCAUCCAAAACUGGCGGGCUAGAGUUCUGGAGGGGGUAGCGGAAUUCCUGGUGUAGCGGUGAAAUGCGUAGAUAUCAGGAGGAACACCGGUGGCGAAGGCGGCUACCUGGACAGAAACUGGCGCUGAGGCGCGAAAGCUAGGGGAGCAAACAGG
This 253-nucleotide ribosomal RNA is filed under the name uncultured bacterium. RNAcentral's name for it is "partial 16S ribosomal RNA". It matches the Rfam family "Bacterial small subunit ribosomal RNA", at positions 524 to 776 of the family's 1533-position model. The record is from RNAcentral.